This 253-nucleotide ribosomal RNA is filed under the name uncultured bacterium. RNAcentral describes it as "partial 16S ribosomal RNA". It matches the Rfam family "Bacterial small subunit ribosomal RNA", at positions 524 to 776 of the family's 1533-position model. The record is from RNAcentral.
UACGUAGGGUGCGAGCGUUAAUCGGAAUUACUGGGCGUAAAGCGUGCGCAGGCGGUCUUGUAAGACAGUUGUGAAAGCCCCGGGCUUAACCUGGGAACUGCAAUUGUGACUGCAAGGCUAGAGUGUGUCAGAGGGGGGUGGAAUUCCACGUGUAGCAGUGAAAUGCGUAGAGAUGUGGAGGAACACCGAUGGCGAAGGCAGCCCCCUGGGAUAACACUGACGCUCAUGCACGAAAGCGUGGGGAGCAAACAGG